This 465-nucleotide ribosomal RNA is filed under the name uncultured bacterium. RNAcentral's name for it is "partial 16S ribosomal RNA". It matches the Rfam family "Bacterial small subunit ribosomal RNA", at positions 28 to 507 of the family's 1533-position model. The record is from RNAcentral.
GACGAACGCUGGCGGCGUGCUUAACACAUGCAAGUCGAACGGAAAGGCCCCUUUGGGGGUACUCGAGUGGCGAACGGGUGAGUAACACGUGAGUAACCUGCCCUUGACUUCGGGAUAACUUCAGGAAACUGGGGCCAAUACCGGAUAGGAAUCCUUGCUGCAUGGUGGGGGUUGGAAAGCUUCGGCGGUUUUGGAUGGACUCGCGGCUUAUCAGCUUGUUGGUGGGGUAGUGGCUUACCAAGGCUUUGACGGGUAGCCGGCCUGAGAGGGCGACCGGCCACAUUGGGACUGAGAUACGGCCCAGACUCCUACGGGAGGCAGCAGUGGGGAAUAUUGCACAAUGGGCGGAAGCCUGAUGCAGCAACGCCGCGUGCGGGAUGACGGCCUUCGGGUUGUAAACCGCUUUCAGCAGGGGCGAAGCUUGUGGUGACGGUACCUGCAGAAGAAGCACCGGCUAACUACGUG